UACCAGCUCCCCGAGUGGUUGGGACGAUUAUUGGGUCUAAAGCGUCCGUAGCCGGCCGGAAAAGUUCCCCGUUAAAUCCAACGAUCCAAUCGUUGGGCUGCGGGGAAUACUUUUCGGCUUGGGGGCGAGGGAGGUCGGCGGUAGUCCCGGGGUAGGGGCGAAAUCCUAUAAUCCCGGGAGGACCACCAGUGGCGAAGGCGGCCGACUAAAACGCGCCCGACGGUGAGGGACGAAAGCUGGGGGAG
This 245-nucleotide ribosomal RNA is filed under the name uncultured archaeon. RNAcentral describes it as "partial 16S ribosomal RNA". It matches the Rfam family "Archaeal small subunit ribosomal RNA", at positions 474 to 719 of the family's 1478-position model. The record is from RNAcentral.